GACGAACGCUGGCGGCGUGCUUAACACAUGCAAGUCGAACGGAAAGGCCCUGCUUUUGUGGGGUGCUCGAGUGGCGAACGGGUGAGUAACACGUGUGUAACCUGCCCUUGACUUUGGGAUAACUUCAGGAAACUGGGGCUAAUACCGGAUAGGAUCUACUGAUGCAUGGUGGGGGUUGGAAAGUUUCGGCGGUGGGGGAUGGACUCGCGGCUUAUCAGCUUGUUGGUGGGGUAGUGGCUUACCAAGGGUUUGACGGGUAGGCGGCCUGAGAGGGUGACCGGCCACAUUGGGACUGAGAUACGGCCCAGACUCCUACGGGAGGCAGCAGUGGGGAAUAUUGCACAAUGGGCGGAAGCCUGAUGCAGCAACGCCGCGUGCGGGAUGACGGCCUUCGGGUUGUAAACCGCUUUCGCCUGUGACGAAGCGUGAGUGACGGUAAUGGGUAAAGAAGCAACGGCUAACUACGUG
RNAcentral lists this ribosomal RNA (468 nucleotides) under uncultured bacterium. RNAcentral describes it as "partial 16S ribosomal RNA". It matches the Rfam family "Bacterial small subunit ribosomal RNA", at positions 28 to 507 of the family's 1533-position model. The record is from RNAcentral.